UACGAAGGGGGCUAGCGUUGCUCGGAAUCACUGGGCGUAAAGGGUGCGUAGGCGGGUCUUUAAGUCCGGGGUGAAAUCCUGGAGCUCAACUCCAGGACUGCCUUUGAUACUGAGGAUCUUGAGUUCGGGAGAGGUGAGUGGAACUGCGAGUGUAGAGGUGAAAUUCGUAGAUAUUCGCAAGAACACCAGUGGCGAAGGCGGCUCACUGGCCCGAUACUGACGCUGAGGCACGAAAGCGUGGGGAGCAAACAGG
RNAcentral lists this ribosomal RNA (253 nucleotides) under uncultured bacterium. Its description in RNAcentral is "partial 16S ribosomal RNA". It matches the Rfam family "Bacterial small subunit ribosomal RNA", at positions 524 to 776 of the family's 1533-position model. The record is from RNAcentral.